This 1029-nucleotide long non-coding RNA is filed under the name Helianthus annuus (common sunflower). The record is from RNAcentral. Lineage: Eukaryota; Viridiplantae; Streptophyta; Magnoliopsida; Asterales; Asteraceae.
GGGAAUAGUGCCAGGCACCAGCCUGGCACAUACCCAUUCGCCUGAUUGGGCGGUUUGCAGCUUUUGCAAACCCUAAUUUCUUUGAAACGUAGACAACAUAGCUAGAGGCAAGAAAGAAACAGAGAAUAAGGCGGGAAAACAUCAGGCUCAAUCCUCCGGUAAAGAGAGUUCCGGACCCGGCGAUCUAAGGCGAUUGGCUUCAGGAAUCUGCGACGCACUCCGGCGGCGCGUUUAAUGUUUUCCUCGGAACCCUAACAGUAGUUGCGGUGUCGGUCACACAAGUGUGAAACAACGGCGUAUGACGGUAACGAGGGGCGGUUCCGGCGACUAUCGUUUUUUGGUGGCGUGCACAAACUGUAUGAGAGAAUGUGGCACGCUGGUGCAGAACUAAAGACCCGGUGAACAUGUUCCGGCAUGCGCGCGGCUCACACAGGUGGAAGAAAUUGGGGUAUAGAAUCGUGCAAACAACUAUCUGGUGUAUCUGGAGAGGCCGCAACGAAGUGGUUUUCAAACGAAAACAGAGGAAAACAUGAUUGACAUCGGCAACACAAAGAGGAUUCAAUACCUGCCCUAAGAAAGCCAGCCAAUAAACACACACUUUUGAAGCUCAUCGCCUGGACACCAUCUGAUCAUGUAUUUUGCAGCCAGUUGAACACUUAAAGCAAAGGUCUUCUGUAACUAAUACCAUUCCAAGUAACCAACUGCAUGCCUUGCUAAAGCUUGUACUACUUUUGUCUAUUUCAGGUCUUUUAAAACACAAAAUCAUAGCUGGAAACUCGGCGCAGCAACGCGUGCCGGGAAAACAUCUAGUUCAGAUACUAUUUACAAGUUCAUGUCUCUCUCUCUCUCUCUCUGGUGUGUGACGAUUAGGGUUUUUUUCAGUAUAGUGUCUGGGUUCAUCUUGAACCAGAUUAUAGUUAUUCUUUUCUAAUCAUUGUCAUAUAAAGAUUAUCGUUGUCGUCGUAAUCUUUGAGAGUUAUUUUUAGAGAUGCUAGGCUUGUAUUUGAAUCGUUCAUUGUCAUAUUUUUG